RNAcentral lists this ribosomal RNA (2881 nucleotides) under Acinetobacter baumannii AB5075. RNAcentral describes it as "bacterial LSU rRNA". It matches the Rfam family "Bacterial large subunit ribosomal RNA". The record is from RNAcentral. Lineage: Bacteria; Pseudomonadati; Pseudomonadota; Gammaproteobacteria; Moraxellales; Moraxellaceae.
AGUGCAUGUGGUGGAUGCCUUGGCAGUCAGAGGCGAUGAAAGACGUGAUAGCCUGCGAAAAGCUCCGUGGAGGCGGCAAAUAUCCUUUGAUCCGGAGAUGUCUGAAUGGGGGAACCCACCUACUUUAAGGUAGGUAUUGCAACAUGAAUACAUAGUGUUGCAAGGCGAACGAGGGGAAGUGAAACAUCUCAGUACCCUUAGGAAAAGAAAUCAAUUGAGAUUCCCUCAGUAGCGGCGAGCGAACGGGGAUCAGCCCAUUAAGUUAUGUGUGUUUUAGUGGAACGCUCUGGGAAGUGCGAACGUAGAGGGUGAUAUUCCCGUACACGAAAGGGCACACAUAAUGAUGACGAGUAGGGCGAGGCACGUGAAACCUUGUCUGAAUAUGGGGGGACCAUCCUCCAAGGCUAAAUACUUCCUGACUGACCGAUAGUGAACCAGUACCGUGAGGGAAAGGCGAAAAGAACCCCUGUGAGGGGAGUGAAAUAGAUCCUGAAACCGCAUGCAUACAAGCAGUGGGAGCACCUUCGUGGUGUGACUGCGUACCUUUUGUAUAAUGGGUCAGCGACUUAUAUUCAGUAGCGAGGUUAACCCGGUAUAGGGGAGCCGUAGAGAAAUCGAGUCUUAAUAGGGCGUUUAGUUGCUGGGUAUAGACCCGAAACCAGGCGAUCUAUCCAUGAGCAGGUUGAAGGUUGGGUAACACUAACUGGAGGACCGAACCCACUGUCGUUGAAAAGCCAGGGGAUGACUUGUGGAUAGGGGUGAAAGGCUAAUCAAGCCUGGUGAUAGCUGGUUCUCCCCGAAAGCUAUUUAGGUAGCGCCUCGGACGAAUACCAUAGGGGGUAGAGCACUGUUUCGGCUAGGGGGUCAUCCCGACUUACCAAACCGAUGCAAACUCCGAAUACCUAUGAGUACUAUCCGGGAGACAGACUGCGGGUGCUAACGUCCGUAGUCAAGAGGAAAACAAUCCAGACCGCCAGCUAAGGCCCCAAAAUCAUAGUUAAGUGGGAAACGAUGUGGGAAGGCAUAGACAGCUAGGAGGUUGGCUUAGAAGCAGCCACCCUUUAAAGAAAGCGUAAUAGCUCACUAGUCGAGUCGGCCUGCGCGGAAGAUGUAACGGGGCUAAAACUAUGUGCCGAAGCUGCGGAUGUAUACUUUGUAUACGUGGUAGGGGAGCGUUCUGUAAGCCGAUGAAGGUGUGUUGAGAAGCAUGCUGGAGGUAUCAGAAGUGCGAAUGCUGACGUGAGUAACGACAAAACGGGUGAAAAACCCGUUCGCCGAAAGACCAAGGGUUCCAGUCCAACGUUAAUCGGGGCUGGGUGAGUCGACCCCUAAGGCGAGGCCGAAAGGCGUAGUCGAUGGGAAAAUGGUUAAUAUUCCAUUACUUCUGUGUAAUGCGAUGAGAGGACGGAGAAGGCUAAAUCAGCCUGGCGUUGGUUGUCCAGGUGAAAGGAUGUAGGCAUGUAUCUUAGGCAAAUCCGGGGUACUCUAUGCUGAGAUCUGAUAGCAAGCUGUACUUGUACAGCGAAGUGGUUGAUGCCAUGCUUCCAGGAAAAGUCUCUAAGCUUCAGUUACACAGGAAUCGUACCCGAAACCGACACAGGUGGUCAGGUCGAGUAGACCAAGGCGCUUGAGAGAACUCUGCUGAAGGAACUAGGCAAAAUGGUACCGUAACUUCGGGAGAAGGUACGCUGUUGUUGGUGAUGGAACUCGCUUCCUGAGCUGACGACAGCCGCAGAAACCAGGCCGCUGCAACUGUUUAUUAAAAACAUAGCACUCUGCAAACACGAAAGUGGACGUAUAGGGUGUGAUGCCUGCCCGGUGCUGGAAGGUUAAUUGAUGGGGUUAGCGUAAGCGAAGCUCUUGAUCGAAGCCCCAGUAAACGGCGGCCGUAACUAUAACGGUCCUAAGGUAGCGAAAUUCCUUGUCGGGUAAGUUCCGACCUGCACGAAUGGCAUAAUGAUGGCGGCGCUGUCUCCAGCAGAGGCUCAGUGAAAUCGAAAUCGCUGUGAAGAUGCAGUGUACCCGCGGCUAGACGGAAAGACCCCGUGAACCUUUACUGCAGCUUGACACUGAACUUUGACCUUACUUGUGUAGGAUAGGUGGGAGGCUUUGAAGCUGGAACGCUAGUUCCAGUGGAGCCGUCCUUGAAAUACCACCCUGGUAAUGUUGAGGUUCUAACUCUGUCCCGUGAUCCGGGACGAGGACCGUGUCUGGUGGGUAGUUUGACUGGGGCGGUCUCCUCCUAAAGAGUAACGGAGGAGUACGAAGGUGCGCUCAGCGUGGUCGGAAAUCACGCGUAGAGUAUAAAGGCAAAAGCGCGCUUAACUGCGAGACCCACAAGUCGAGCAGGUACGAAAGUAGGUCUUAGUGAUCCGGUGGUUCUGUAUGGAAGGGCCAUCGCUCAACGGAUAAAAGGUACUCUGGGGAUAACAGGCUGAUACCGCCCAAGAGUUCAUAUCGACGGCGGUGUUUGGCACCUCGAUGUCGGCUCAUCUCAUCCUGGGGCUGAAGCAGGUCCCAAGGGUAUGGCUGUUCGCCAUUUAAAGAGGUACGCGAGCUGGGUUUAGAACGUCGUGAGACAGUUCGGUCCCUAUCUACCGUGGGCGCUGGAAAUUUGAGAGGAUCUGCUCCUAGUACGAGAGGACCAGAGUGGACGAACCUCUGGUGUACCGGUUGUGACGCCAGUCGCAUCGCCGGGUAGCUAUGUUCGGAAGGGAUAACCGCUGAAAGCAUCUAAGCGGGAAGCCUACCUCAAGAUAAGAUUUCCCUAGGACUUUAUGUCCUCUAAAGAGCCGUUCGAGACUAGGACGUUGAUAGGUUGGAUGUGGAAGCAUAGUGAUAUGUGAAGCUGACCAAUACUAAUUGCUCGUGAGGCUUGACU